CCCCUAGAUGUUCUGGGCCGCACGCGCGCUACACUGAACAGUUCAACAAGUCUUAACCUUGGCCGAUAGGUCUGGGUAAUCUUUGAACGCUGUUCGUGAUUGGGAUAGACCUUUGCAAUUAUGGGUAUUCAACGAGGAAUUCCUAGUAAACGCAAGUCAUCAGCUUGCAUUGAUUACGUCCCUGCCCUUUGUACACACCGCCCGUCGCACCUACCGAUUGAAUGGUCCGGUGAAAUCUCGGGACGGCGGCUUGGUCGCUUGCGUCCGACUGCUGAAACUUGAUUAAACCAUAUCAUUUAGAGGAAGGUGAAGUCGUAACA
Molecule: ribosomal RNA, 320 nt
Filed under: uncultured eukaryote
Lineage: Eukaryota
Description: partial 18S ribosomal RNA
Rfam family: Eukaryotic small subunit ribosomal RNA
Source: RNAcentral